RNAcentral lists this long non-coding RNA (218 nucleotides) under Ictidomys tridecemlineatus (thirteen-lined ground squirrel). RNAcentral's name for it is "lncRNA (ENSSTOG00000031020.1)". The record is from RNAcentral. Lineage: Eukaryota; Metazoa; Chordata; Mammalia; Rodentia; Sciuridae.
AAUGGUUCAAAAGAAGAAACAACUCAGAAAAAUACAUAAGAAGCUGGUGGGAACAUCACAUAAACCGUAUGUUGAACUUCUCCAGGAGUGAGUCAGUGCAGCUGCACAUGCCUCAGCCUAUAAAGCCAGCACUUCCUGCCCAGACCAUCACUGGACUGAUAGACAGGCUCAACUGCUUCCAAGGCGAGUAUCAGUCCACUGAUGGGAACACAGUAUAG